RNAcentral lists this long non-coding RNA (750 nucleotides) under Homo sapiens (human). Its description in RNAcentral is "HSALNT0325624". The record is from RNAcentral. Lineage: Eukaryota; Metazoa; Chordata; Mammalia; Primates; Hominidae.
AUCUUCACUUGUACAAGUUGUCUUUAUGCUGCGAGAUAAGUCCUCUCUUGGUUUGAGCUCCCACCUUUUCAGUGAACUCUUACAUUUUGGGGGAUCUGCUCUUGUAAAGGACAUCCUUUCUGGUCUUUGAUUACUUGAGAAAAGUGAGUGAGGUGGGGCCAAGAUGGUUGACUAGAAGCAGCUAGUGUAUGCCACUCUCACAAAUAGCAGAAAGAGUGGUGAGGUGAGUAGACACUAGCUCUUCAACCGGAACAUCCAGGUGGACACAUAAGGAUUCAUCAGUGACAUAGUGUGACCUUCGGAUCACGGAGAAGAGUGAGACAGAUCAACCAUUCACCCAGGAGUGGCACAGACCCAGGGGAAUCCCCCUACAAGAAAAUGGUCAGUGAGUGAGAGUCCUGUGGGAUGCAUAUUCUGCCACGAACCUUUGAAUCCCUGGGCUCAGGAGAUACCCCAACUGGGGUCUCCAGACCAAAACAGAGAGCCAUGUGGAGUCUGGGUAGAGCUGCUUCUUAGGCCAGGAACCUUCAGAUAUAUUGGAGACCUCAAGAAGAGAGAAAUUCAUGCAAAUUUUUAGAUACUGCAGCCAAAGUCUGAUGUUCACCCUCCUUUGACUUCUGACCCUUGAAAGGCUUUUAAAAGUCGAAUCUGAGAUUUCUUAUCAAAAGUUCCAUCAAAAUAAACUUAAAAACAGCCCAUGUUUCAUCCCUUUUCUUGCUACACUGUUGUCAAUAAUCAUGCCAAGUUUAA